GUGGGGAAUUUUUGGCAAUGGGGGAAACCCUGACCAAGCAACGCCGCGUGGGUGAUGAAGUAUCUCGGUACGUAAAACCCUUUCGACGGGGAAGAAAACCGCAAGGUUUGACGGUACCCGUAGAAGAAGCCCCGGCUAACUCCGUGCCAGCAGCCGCGGUAAUACGGGGGGGGCAAGCGUUGUUCGGAAUUACUGGGCGUAAAGGGUGCGUAGGCGGUUCGCUAAGUUGGAUGUGAAAACUCUGGGCUCAACCCAGAGCCUGCAUCCAAUACUGACGAGCUAGAGUUCUGGAGGGGAUAGCGGAAUUCCUGGUGUAGCGGUGAAAUGCGUAGAUAUCAGGAGGAACACCGGUGGCGAAGGCGGCUAUCUGGACAGAGUCUGACGCUGAGGCACGAAAGCUAGGGGAGCAAACAGGAUUAGAAACCCGGGUAGUCC
This 435-nucleotide ribosomal RNA is filed under the name uncultured bacterium. Its description in RNAcentral is "bacterial SSU rRNA". It matches the Rfam family "Bacterial small subunit ribosomal RNA", at positions 354 to 796 of the family's 1533-position model. The record is from RNAcentral.